GGAGGGUGCAAGCGUUAUUCGGAAUUAUUGGGCGUAAAGAGCGCGUAGGCGGCCAGUUAAGUCAGAUGUGAAAUCCCGGGGCUCAACCCCGGAAGUGCAUUUGAAACUAAUUGGCUUGAGUAUGGGAGAGGGAAGUGGAAUUCCUGGUGUAGAGGUGAAAUUCGUAGAUAUCAGGAGGAACACCGGUGGCGAAGGCGACUUCCUGGACCAAUACUGACGCUAAGGCGCGAAGGCGUGGGGAGCAAACAGGAUUAGAUACCCUGGUAGUCCACGCAGUAAACGGUGAUCACUAGGUGUAGCGGGUAUUGACCCCUGCUGUGCCGUAGCUAACGCAUUAAGUGCUCCGCCUGGGGAGUACGGCCGCAAGGCUA
RNAcentral lists this ribosomal RNA (371 nucleotides) under uncultured bacterium. Its description in RNAcentral is "bacterial SSU rRNA". It matches the Rfam family "Bacterial small subunit ribosomal RNA", at positions 527 to 896 of the family's 1533-position model. The record is from RNAcentral.